GAUCAUGCUCAGGACGAACGCUGGCGGCAUGCCUAACACAUGCAAGUCGAACGAGGUGUAGCAAUACACCUAGUGGCGGACGGGUGCGUAACACGUGAGCAACCUGCCCUUUACAACGGGAUAACACAGAGAAAUUUGUGCUAAUACGGUAUGAGACCACAGUACGGCAUCGUACAGGGGUUAAAGUUCAGGCGGUAAAGGAGGGGCUCGCGGCCCAUUAGAUAGUUGGUGAGGUAACGGCUC
Molecule: ribosomal RNA, 243 nt
Filed under: uncultured bacterium
Lineage: Bacteria
Description: partial 16S ribosomal RNA
Rfam family: Bacterial small subunit ribosomal RNA
Source: RNAcentral